RNAcentral lists this ribosomal RNA (85 nucleotides) under Durinskia baltica. RNAcentral's name for it is "partial Bacterial large subunit ribosomal RNA". The record is from RNAcentral. Lineage: Eukaryota; Dinophyceae; Peridiniales; Kryptoperidiniaceae.
UCUUCCAGGAACUCUCUUUAUCAUUUGGUUUCAACAUUUAUUGGUAUUCUUCUAACCUUUUCCCCAAUGCAUUUCCUAGGAUUUA